This 83-nucleotide transfer RNA is filed under the name Deltaproteobacteria bacterium. RNAcentral's name for it is "tRNA-Leu". It matches the Rfam family "tRNA". From Rfam's summary of the family: Transfer RNA (tRNA) molecules are approximately 80 nucleotides in length. Their secondary structure includes four short double-helical elements and three loops (D, anti-codon, and T loops). Further hydrogen bonds mediate the characteristic L-shaped molecular structure. tRNAs have two regions of fundamental functional importance: the anti-codon, which is responsible for specific mRNA codon recognition, and the 3' end, to which the tRNAs corresponding amino acid is attached (by aminoacyl-tRNA synthetases). tRNAs cope with the degeneracy of the genetic code in two manners: having more than one tRNA (with a specific anti-codon) for a particular amino acid; and 'wobble' base-pairing, i.e. permitting non-standard base-pairing at the 3rd anti-codon position. Lineage: Bacteria; Pseudomonadati; Myxococcota; Myxococcia. The record is from RNAcentral.
GCCGGGAUGGUGGAAUGGCAGACACGGUAGACUCAAAAUCUGCUGAGCGCAAGCUCAUGAGGGUUCGACCCCCUCUCCCGGUA